Non-coding RNA from Podarcis lilfordi (Lilford's wall lizard), 82 nucleotides. The record is from the annotation of a GenBank genome assembly. Lineage: Eukaryota; Metazoa; Chordata; Lepidosauria; Squamata; Lacertidae.
UCCAGGUGCAUUUCCACAUGUGUGCAAGCUAGUUUAUAUGUGUGUAAGCUAGCUUGCACACAUGUGGAAAUGCACCUGGAUG